AUCCAGCUGACGAGUCCCUAACAGGAAGAAAUACAUAUCCUAGAU
Molecule: non-coding RNA, 45 nt
Filed under: Trichobilharzia regenti
Lineage: Eukaryota; Metazoa; Platyhelminthes; Trematoda; Strigeidida; Schistosomatidae
Source: RNAcentral